GGUCUUUUCUUUGCCUAAAUUUUCUCUUAUAUAGAGAUUGCCUCUAUAAGGGGCUAUGGUGAUAAAUGGGCUUUGUAAUAAACCUAUUGGACCCGGGGGCGGUACCCGGCGCCUCCACCAUAAAUCGGACAAUUGGCAUUUUGGUUGUUGUCCGCUUUAUGAUGGGGGCGAAAUAGGAUCGACAAGGGCGUAAAGAUUGAUCUUUCACUCGGCAUUGUACCACCGUUAUCGGGCUAAAGUAGUAGUUGCAAAUGACAAUUACGCGGAGGCACGUCUCGCUGCUUAAUGCAGUGCGAUAGCUUCAAAUUAAGUCUUAUGCCGUCGCAGGUAUAAGCGGGGUUCGGAGGCACCUGGCAACAGAAGCCUUCACU
This 371-nucleotide transfer-messenger RNA is filed under the name Bartonella sp. HY761. It matches the Rfam family "Alphaproteobacteria transfer-messenger RNA". Rfam says of the family: Bacterial tmRNA, also known as 10Sa RNA or SsrA, is named for its dual tRNA and mRNA-like properties. Its role is to liberate the mRNA from a stalled ribosome. To accomplish this part of the tmRNA is used as a reading frame that ends in a translation stop signal. Lineage: Bacteria; Pseudomonadati; Pseudomonadota; Alphaproteobacteria; Hyphomicrobiales; Bartonellaceae. The record is from RNAcentral.